UGGGGAAUCUUGCGCAAUGGGCGAAAGCCUGACGCAGCGACGCCGCGUGAGUGAUGAAGGCCUUCGGGUUGUAAAGCUCUGUGGGGAGAGACGAAUAAGCUUUGGCUAAUAUCCAGGGUGAUGACGGUAUCUCCUUAGCAAGCACCGGCUAACUCUGUGCCAGCAGCCGCGGUAAGACAGAGGGUGCAAACGUUGUUCGGAAUUACUGGGCGUAAAGCGCAUGUAGGCGGCCUAGCAGGUCGGAUGUGAAAGCCCUCGGCUCAACCGAGGAAGUGCAUUCGAAACCGCAAGGCUUGAGUCCCGGAGAGGGUAGUGGAAUUCGCGGUGUAGAGGUGAAAUUCGUAGAUAUCGAGAGGAACACCGGUGGCGAAAGCGGCUACCUGGACGAGGACUGACGCUGAGAUGCGAAAGCGUGGGGAGCAAACA
RNAcentral lists this ribosomal RNA (426 nucleotides) under uncultured bacterium. RNAcentral's name for it is "bacterial SSU rRNA". It matches the Rfam family "Bacterial small subunit ribosomal RNA", at positions 355 to 774 of the family's 1533-position model. The record is from RNAcentral.